UAGGGAAUCUUCCACAAUGGGCGCAAGCCCGAUGGAGCAACACCGCGUGAGUGAAGAAGGGUUUCGGCUCGUAAAGCUCUGUUGUUAAAGAAGAACACGUAUGAGAGUAACUGUUCAUACGUUGACGGUAUUUAACCAGAAAGUCACGGCUAACUACGUGCCAA
Molecule: ribosomal RNA, 164 nt
Filed under: uncultured bacterium
Lineage: Bacteria
Description: partial 16S ribosomal RNA
Rfam family: Bacterial small subunit ribosomal RNA
Source: RNAcentral